Molecule: transfer RNA, 85 nt
Filed under: Candidatus Daviesbacteria bacterium
Lineage: Bacteria; Candidatus Daviesiibacteriota
Description: tRNA-Ser
Rfam family: tRNA
About the family: Transfer RNA (tRNA) molecules are approximately 80 nucleotides in length. Their secondary structure includes four short double-helical elements and three loops (D, anti-codon, and T loops).
Source: RNAcentral
GGAGGGAUCGCAUAGUGGCCUAGUGCGCCGUCUUGGAAAGGCGGUAUACCGCAAGGUAUCGUGGGUUCAAAUCCCACUCCCUCCG